RNAcentral lists this transfer RNA (68 nucleotides) under Citrobacter freundii. Its description in RNAcentral is "tRNA-OTHER". It matches the Rfam family "tRNA". From Rfam's summary of the family: Transfer RNA (tRNA) molecules are approximately 80 nucleotides in length. Their secondary structure includes four short double-helical elements and three loops (D, anti-codon, and T loops). Lineage: Bacteria; Pseudomonadati; Pseudomonadota; Gammaproteobacteria; Enterobacterales; Enterobacteriaceae. The record is from RNAcentral.
CCCUUUGACAAGCCAACGGCGGACUGUUAAUCCGUAUGUCACUGGUUCGAGUCCAGUCAGAGGAGCCA